UUUGAAACUGCGAAUGGCUCAUUAUAUCAGUUAUAGUUUAUUUGAUGAAGAACACUAAUUGGAUAACCGUAGUAAUUCUAGAGCUAAUACAUGUAUAAAGUCUUGUGUACUGUGUUUAUUAGAAUGAAAACCAUAGGUUUCGGCCUAUUCGUGAGUAAUAAUAACUAAUCAUAUCGUAUGCUUACGUAACGAUGUGUCUUUCAAGUUUCUGCCCUAUCAGCUUUCUAUGGUGGUGUAUUGGACUCCCAUG
RNAcentral lists this ribosomal RNA (250 nucleotides) under Blastocystis sp. RNAcentral describes it as "partial small subunit ribosomal RNA". It matches the Rfam family "Eukaryotic small subunit ribosomal RNA", at positions 80 to 348 of the family's 1831-position model. The record is from RNAcentral. Lineage: Eukaryota; Bigyra; Opalinata; Blastocystidae.